AGCAUGGGUUGUAAAUCUACCAUAAAGGUUUUCAACACUCUCCUAAUAGUCCUUGGAAUACGAUACGAUGUAUUUCAGUAGAGAUUUCAUGAUAAUCAGAGAAAUAUAAUUGAUUUGUCUAUAUGACCUUUGAAAGUGAAGUAACAUGAAUGAUCUUCAUGGGACAUGAGUCGAUGAAGGCAAGAAUAGAAAGUUCAAGGUUGUGCUGUGGAAAUUUUAGUUGUUACCUUUUCAUGUUUUUUCUUCUCUAGUUCCAAGGGUUUGGAACCACCUUAUGUAAUGUAAAACACUAAAUAACGAACAAUGAUUUGCCUUUGUCAAGGUGUUUGAUA
Vigna angularis (adzuki bean) is the source of this 332-nucleotide long non-coding RNA. RefSeq lists it as uncharacterized. Lineage: Eukaryota; Viridiplantae; Streptophyta; Magnoliopsida; Fabales; Fabaceae. The record is from RefSeq and is a predicted model, not a curated record. The transcript is spliced from 2 exons.